GGCAAACCACACUUUUGGAUUACAUCAGGAAAAGCAAGGUGGCAGCAUCUGAAGCAGGUGGAAUUACUCAAGGCAUGGGGGCAUACAAGGUACAAGUACCUUUUGAUGGCAAGCCACAGACUUGUGUUUUCCUUGACACCCCUGGACAUGAGGCAUUUGGAGCGAUGAGAGCUCGUGGAGCCAGAGUAAUAGACAUUGUUGUUAUUGUAGUUGCU
Long non-coding RNA from Coffea eugenioides, 215 nucleotides. RefSeq lists it as uncharacterized. The record is from RefSeq and is a predicted model, not a curated record. The transcript is spliced from 3 exons. NCBI's taxonomy places the organism in Eukaryota, Viridiplantae, Streptophyta, Magnoliopsida, Gentianales, Rubiaceae.